This 96-nucleotide unclassified non-coding RNA is filed under the name Kaistella jeonii. RNAcentral's name for it is "Chryseobacterium jeonii Flavo-1 RNA". The record is from RNAcentral. Lineage: Bacteria; Pseudomonadati; Bacteroidota; Flavobacteriia; Flavobacteriales; Weeksellaceae.
UUCACAGCCCGACCUGAGUGGAGCUCUUUUUUAUUAAUGGCUGAGCGAAGUCGAAGACAGUAAUAAAAAAAGCGGGAACGGAGGGCGGAAAAUGCU